UACAGAGGGUGCAAGCGUUAAUCGGAAUUACUGGGCGUAAAGCGCGCGUAGGCGGCUUGACAAGUCGAGUGUGAAAUCCCCGGGCUUAACCUGGGACCUGCAUUCGAAACUGUCUUGCUAGAGUAUGGGAGAGGGAAGCGGAAUUUCAGGUGUAGUGGUGAAAUGCGUAGAUAUCUGAAGGAACACCAGUGGCGAAGGCGGCUUUCUGGCCUAUUCUUGACGCUGAGGCGCGAAAGCUAGGGGAGCGAACGGG
RNAcentral lists this ribosomal RNA (253 nucleotides) under uncultured bacterium. RNAcentral describes it as "partial 16S ribosomal RNA". It matches the Rfam family "Bacterial small subunit ribosomal RNA", at positions 524 to 776 of the family's 1533-position model. The record is from RNAcentral.